Molecule: small RNA, 74 nt
Filed under: Methylobacterium nodulans ORS 2060
Lineage: Bacteria; Pseudomonadati; Pseudomonadota; Alphaproteobacteria; Hyphomicrobiales; Methylobacteriaceae
Description: Makes More Granules Regulator RNA (mmgR)
Rfam family: Makes More Granules Regulator RNA (mmgR)
About the family: SuhB later renamed mmgR (makes more granules regulator) was a putative non-coding RNA found multiple times in the Agrobacterium tumefaciens genome and related alpha-proteobacteria.
Source: Rfam by way of RNAcentral
GAUGCCUGCCCUUCGUGGGCGUUUCCUCCCUAGACUUCGGGCCGCUCGCAAGGGUGGCCUUUUUUGUAUCCGGC